RNAcentral lists this small nucleolar RNA (72 nucleotides) under Sus scrofa (pig). RNAcentral describes it as "Small nucleolar RNA SNORD73 (multiple genes)". It matches the Rfam family "Small nucleolar RNA SNORD73". Rfam says of the family: U73 is a member of the C/D class of snoRNA which contain the C (UGAUGA) and D (CUGA) box motifs. U73 is encoded within the introns of ribosomal protein S3a and contains a 12nt region of complementarity to a conserved sequence in 28S ribosomal RNA. U73 is therefore thought to function as a 2'-O-ribose methylation guide for pre-rRNA. The record is from RNAcentral. Lineage: Eukaryota; Metazoa; Chordata; Mammalia; Artiodactyla; Suidae.
AAUGAAUGAUGACAAAAUGUUUCGGUCCCAUAUGAUACAUUUUGAUUCUACCGUUACAUUAUUUCUGACAUU